RNAcentral lists this ribosomal RNA (161 nucleotides) under uncultured bacterium. RNAcentral describes it as "partial 16S rRNA". It matches the Rfam family "Bacterial small subunit ribosomal RNA", at positions 358 to 511 of the family's 1533-position model. The record is from RNAcentral.
GGAAUCUUCGGCAAUGGACGAAAGUCUGACCGAGCAACGCCGCGUGAGUGAAGAAGGUUUCGGAUCGUAAAACUCUGUUGGUAGAGAAGAACGUUGGUGAGAGUGGAAAGCUCAUCAAGUGACGGUAACUACCCAGAAAGGGACGGCUAACUACGUGCCAG